This 251-nucleotide ribosomal RNA is filed under the name uncultured bacterium. RNAcentral's name for it is "partial 16S ribosomal RNA". It matches the Rfam family "Bacterial small subunit ribosomal RNA", at positions 524 to 776 of the family's 1533-position model. The record is from RNAcentral.
UACGUAGGGUGCGAGCGUUAAUCGGAAUUACUGGGCGUAAAGCGUGCGCAGGCGGUUCGUUGUGUCGGCGGUGAAAGCCCCGGGCUUAACCUGGGAAUGGCCGUCGAAACUGGCGAACUGGAGUGUGGCAGAGGGGGGUGGAAUUCCGCGUGUAGCAGUGAAAUGCGUAGAGAUGCGGAGGAACACCGAUGGCGAAGGCAGCCCCCUGGGCUGACACUGACGCUCAGGCACGAAAGCGUGGGAGCAACAGG